Molecule: long non-coding RNA, 151 nt
Organism: Haliotis rubra (blacklip abalone)
Lineage: Eukaryota; Metazoa; Mollusca; Gastropoda; Lepetellida; Haliotidae
Exons: 3
Source: RefSeq, a predicted model, not a curated record
GUCUGCAGGUGACAUGUUGUUGUAGGUGGCAGGGAGUGUAUUGUCACAUGUGUUAUCCUAUCUGGGAUUACAAGACUACUUAAAGCAUUAAUGAGUUCGGUCAAUUAAUUUGAGUUAUGUCAAUUAACCAUUUAUGGUAUGUAGGUACAUG